RNAcentral lists this long non-coding RNA (1417 nucleotides) under Homo sapiens (human). RNAcentral's name for it is "HSALNT0133263". Lineage: Eukaryota; Metazoa; Chordata; Mammalia; Primates; Hominidae. The record is from RNAcentral.
AGAUUUUUUUUUAGACCUCAGAGAGCUAAAGACUUUUUUUGAAGACUUCCAACAUCCAGACUUCCAGUGUUUGCAAAUCAGCUAUUCUGUGCACAGUCCAAGAUGUGGCGCCAUUUAUGAUAGCUGAAAACUUAAUAAUGUCCUGUAUCAUUUUAAUGACUGGAGUGUGACUUUGUUCUCAGCACAAUGAGUAACAAAGCCAAAACACUGGAGAAUACGUUUACGUAUUCAAGAAAACCUCAGACAAGGAAGAAUGCUUUCAUAAUACAGUACAUUAAAAUCAGACGAAGCCUCGAAGGGCAGAAUCACCGACCCUGAAAAAUCAGAGUGUACUACAGAAGAAGACGACAGCGUUUGAGCACAUUUGUUGAAGCAGCCUCCUCUCCCUUAUGGUACGAUAAUCCCACACCGUUUUACCAUGCUCUCUGGCCUUCCCAGAACAUCAAUAAAAACUGCAUCCCCUGACUUUUCUUGGUGGUUUCUGUUAUCUUCCCUAAACUUUAAUUUAAUGUGAUCUUACUUAGGCAUUUCUCUUAGAGAGUAGGUCAUUAUAACGAAGCAUUUUUCACCCUCUGGGAAAGAGGUUUCCACAUAAGGGCCAGGCCACGUUUUCCCUUUCAUCCAGGGAUUCUACCAUAAGCAGCCUCUCAUCUUCACUUUUCCCAAAAAUUUUCUUAAAAUCAGUGUAUUUUUUUGCAGGACCGGAUAUCACAUUACAUUCUCUAGUUGGGGGUGGGGGGCGGGAUGGGAAGUGAGAACAAAGAACGAUAACUCCCGAAGUGAUUUUUUAAAAUGUAAACUUUCUUAUGAAGCAUAACAUAGACACGUGCCAACAUUAAGCGUACAGCUCCAUGAAAUUUUAUGCAGACACUCACUCAUGAAACCACAACUAGAACAGGAAAUAGGAUUUUGCCAGCACUCCUAUAAGGCACCUUGCAGUCGCUCCCCUCCCCUACCCCACUCCAGAACAUAACAAGCUCAUUUUCUGACUUCUAUCACUGUAGAUUAAUUUGCCGCUUUUCCAAACUUCCGUAAAUGGAAUCGGACAGUACAUACUCUUUGGUACCUGGCUCAAUAUUCUGUUCCUUGAGUGUGCUGAAGCAGUCAUUUGUUCAAUUUUAUUGCUGACUCAUAUUCUGUGCUAUGAAAAUGUAACAAUUUAUUUUUCCAUUCUACCACUAAUGGGCCUCUAGAGUCUUUCUACUAUUUGACCAUAAUGGAAAAUGCUGCAAUAAAAAUUGUUGUGCACGUCUUUUGAGAGCACAUGUACCUAUUUCUGUGGAUAUAUACCUAGACGUGUAAUAUCUGGGUCAUAAAUAGUCGUGUGCCUAUGCAGGCUUGCAGUGCCUCAUGAGAGCCUAGUUUUUGCAGUCUAAUUGUUAAAAAUAGCCAUAACUGAAAAUUAAGUUAUGUAAAC